CACAGACACAGAGUUACACGCUGCUUUUCCCUGAAGAUCACUACAUGGGGACUAGAACCUGAGAACACACACACACACACAAGAGUUACUCAAGUAGGGCUUUGCCCAGAUAAAAAGCCAUCCUGCAUCUUGGACCUGGAGGUACCAUGGCAGACAUAGAUGCAAGCAACCGACUCAAAGACACCAAGUCCACCGAAACAUUAACCAGACUGGUUCACCGAAACGUCAAUAACACCAAAACUGCAGAAAUGAAUGACUGGGAGAAACAUGCUGAGGACUUGGAUUUGAUUCAGUGGAAGAACCAUGUACAGCAAGUUAAGAGCGAGGUCCUGGAACAGAUGCAGAGCCAGCUCAGUGACCUGCUGGACAAGGCCCUAACAGAGUCCUUCCAGAAAUUCAUACAGAAUGGGCACUACGUCACGAAGGACGGGACAGCCUUAGCCAAUAGCACCAAUCCAAACAGAACACAUAUGGAAAAAGAUGGAAAAAUAUUUAUGGAACGACGAUCCAUUCUAGAGUAAGCAUUUUAUAUUGUGUGUGGGACACCCUAAACGGAUAACCAGAAAAUCUUAAUCAUUAGAUUCAUGGCGUGACUUUGGCCACGUUGAUUGUCAUAUGACCUACCUGGUAAAAUAACAGAGAUAUAGGAAUUCACUAAAUCUGUAGCAUGAAAUACAUUUGAAUCCUCUUUACCUUGUUAUUUAGGAUUACCUCACUCUACCUAGAGCUUAAGCUUGCCUAGAAUGCAUGUAUACACGAAUGAAUAAACACUUUCAAAGCUUGAGCUAUCCUUCCACCCUUUCUUUUCAUGCUGUUUUGUACAGUGCCUCUUUUCAACAUCUUAC
This is a long non-coding RNA of Esox lucius (northern pike), 845 nucleotides long. Lineage: Eukaryota; Metazoa; Chordata; Actinopteri; Esociformes; Esocidae. The record is from Ensembl.